AUUGAACGCUGGCGGCAGGCCUAACACAUGCAAGCCGAGCGGAUGAAGGGAGCUUGCUCCUGGAUUCAGCGGCGGACGGGUGAGUAAUGCCUAGGAAUCUGCCUGGUAGUGGGGGAUAACGUCCGGAAACGGGCGCUAAUACCGCAUACGUCCUGAGGGAGAAAGUGGGGGAUCCUCGGACCUCACGCUAUCAGAUGAGCCUAGGUCGGAUUAGCUAGUUGGUGGGGUAAAGGCCUACCAAGGCGACGAUCCGUAACUGGUCUGAGAGGAUGAUCAGUCACACUGGAACUGAGACACGGUCCAGACUCCUACGGGAGGCAGCAGUGGGGAAUAUUGGACAAUGGGCGAAAGCCUGAUCCAGCCAUGCCGCGUGUGUGAAGAAGGUCUUCGGAUUGUAAAGCACUUUAAGUUGGGAGGAAGGGCAGUAAGUUAAUACCUUGCUGUUUUGACGUUACCAACAGAAUAAGCACCGGCUAACUUCGUG
Molecule: ribosomal RNA, 484 nt
Filed under: uncultured bacterium
Lineage: Bacteria
Description: partial 16S ribosomal RNA
Rfam family: Bacterial small subunit ribosomal RNA
Source: RNAcentral